UCGUCAGUUGUCGGAGUUUCUAGCCAUCCAAUUAGCUCAGAAUCACACCUAAGAUCACUUCAUUCGCUGCUAACGCGUGCUUACGCUGUUGGGCCGCGACUCUGGUGACUCUUUCGACUUCUAGGAUUGAAUUGGGCUUAUUGGGUUGUACGAGCCCCCCAUCCGUGCAGCAGCGUCUCUCUCUCUCUCUAUCUCUCUCUCUCUCUCUCUCUCUGUGUGUGUGUGUGUGUGUGUGUGUGUGUGUUCCUCUUCCUCCAUAUGUUCUUCGAGAUCCCCUAAUUCUCUUCCUCGAAACCAAAUUGUGUAUCUAGGAUUGAUACUCGGUCAGUGUUUCAUCUUAUUCCCCUCGGUCCGCCAUCCCCAUUUCUCCUGUCGGAUGUUGAUUGGUGAGCCAUGGAAGUUUUCUGCUGUGACUUUGGUUGAGGUGUUGAUCUGAUGUUUCCUUCGGGCAAACACAACUUCUAUUAGGUGUUCAGGAGACUUUCCAAAAGCAUAGAUGAUUGUUUCCUUCCUUCACAUGGGCAUGUACCAACCCCAUGUUUGUGCACCUAGAAGAACCGGAAAUCCUCAUUUUGUACCUUCGUGUGGCGGCUGUUCAGUGAGUGACCGACCUGGAUUCCAAUCGAUGCUGGAGCUAUGACCCCAUGGCGACGGUACUGGUUUCUGAGCGAUGCGAUGGACAACUCCUCGCCGAGAUACGACAUGAGGUCUACUCGGUUGCCAUGUCAGUUGCAUGGCGCGAUGGGCAGUGCCAUGGCGGUGAACAAGCAUAUGUCUAUUGGAGUUAUAUCUUCAAGAUUAAUUGAGAGACCUAAUGAAGGGCAAGGUGGUGGUGAUGGAUCAAGGUGCAGCCUAGCCGGUACCGUAUGUGAAGGUCACCAAGCCCCCACAAUCCAAAUGGCAGCCCCCACCUGAGAAUUGGACAAAGUUGGGUGUGGAUGGGUCCAUGCAACGGUUGAUGGAACUACAUGAGAUGGGAUCAUUUUACGUGGCUAAGAUGGUGUUAUCAUUUUUUCAGCGCAUCGAUCUCUGUGGUCUUGCCCCGACGCCUUGCACGAUGAACUUGCACGUUGUAUGGAGGGGCUGGCUUUAGCCCACCAAUGGACGGAGCUUUCGAUCAUCCUUGAGUGAGAUAGCAAAAUGGCAAUGGAGAUGAUCACUUUGCGUGGCCAAAACAUAUCAUUAUAUGCCAUAGUGUUUAUGAGGUGAAGAGGCUUUUGGGUGAAAGAGAGUGUGUGGUUACUCAUAUCCCUAGAGGGCAAAAUAAUGUAAGUCAUGUGUAAGAGAAUUUUGGUCGAACGGAGGACCGUACUGUUGUGCGGAUCCGAUCCGGGUGGGUUAACUUUCCUAGCUUGUGUAGGGAUAAAUUCUUAUGCUCUUGAGUAAUACACUCCUUUUUACCCCCGCAGAAAAAUAUCCGAUAGUGCCAUAUGAACAGUAGGAGCCCAAGCUUGAAACUAUACAACUUGACAACUAUUUCAUGCUAACAAAGGCCAUUAGCAUUGUUUUUAAUAUAGCUAACAACUCAUGUAGGAACAGCUGUUAAAUUCAUUGGAAGUUUCUACAACUAGAGUACAUCGGUAUUUCAUGGCCCAAACCAGUAAUGCCAGGAAACAAUAAAAGACAAUUGAUGAACAGGCCAAAGAAAAUCAAUACAAAAAGGGAUAAAUUUUGU
Long non-coding RNA from Triticum aestivum (bread wheat), 1675 nucleotides. RefSeq lists it as uncharacterized. The record is from RefSeq and is a predicted model, not a curated record. NCBI's taxonomy places the organism in Eukaryota, Viridiplantae, Streptophyta, Magnoliopsida, Poales, Poaceae. The transcript has 4 exons.